This 457-nucleotide ribosomal RNA is filed under the name uncultured Nitrosomonadaceae bacterium. Its description in RNAcentral is "bacterial SSU rRNA". It matches the Rfam family "Bacterial small subunit ribosomal RNA", at positions 923 to 1382 of the family's 1533-position model. The record is from RNAcentral. Lineage: Bacteria; Pseudomonadati; Pseudomonadota; Betaproteobacteria; Nitrosomonadales; Nitrosomonadaceae.
GCACAAGCGGUGGAUUAUGUGGAUUAAUUCGAUGCAACGCGAAAACCUUACCUACCCUUGACAUGUCCUGAAGCCUGGAGAGAUCCGGGUGUGCCCGAAAGGAACGGGAACACAGGUGCUGCAUGGCUGUCGUCAGCUCGUGUCGUGAGAUGUUGGGUUAAGUCCCGCAACGAGCGCAACCCUUGUCAUUAGUUGCUACAUUUGGUUGGGCACUCUAAUGAGACUGCCGGUGACAAACCGGAGGAAGGUGGGGAUGACGUCAAGUCCUCAUGGCCCUUAUGGGUAGGGCUUCACACGUAAUACAAUGGCGCGUACAGAGGGUUGCCAAGCCGCGAGGUGGAGCCAAUCCCAGAAAGCGCGUCGUAGUCCGGACUGCAGUCUGCAACUCGACUGCAUGAAGUCGGAAUCGCUAGUAAUCGCGAAUCAGAAUGUCGCGGUGAAUACGUUCCCGGGCCUU